Molecule: ribosomal RNA, 459 nt
Filed under: uncultured bacterium
Lineage: Bacteria
Description: partial 16S ribosomal RNA
Rfam family: Bacterial small subunit ribosomal RNA
Source: RNAcentral
CCUACGGGUGGCAGCAGUGAGGAAUAUUGGUCAAUGGGCGCGAGCCUGAACCAGCCAAGUCGCGUGAGGGAAGACGGUCCUAUGGAUUGUAAACCUCUUUUGCCGGGGAGCAAAAAGCGGUACGCGUACCGCAUCGAGAGUACCCGGAGAAAAAGCAUCGGCUAACUCCGUGCCAGCAGCCGCGGUAAUACGGAGGAUGCGAGCGUUAUCCGGAUUUAUUGGGUUUAAAGGGUGUGCAGGCGGAAGGUUAAGUCAGCGGUAAAAUUUCGGGGCUCAACCCAGACGAGCCGUUGAAACUGGUUGUCUAGAGUGGGCGAGAAGUAUGCGGAAGGCGUGGUGUAGCGGUGAAAUGCAUAGAUAUCACGCAGAACUCCGAUUGCGAAGGCAGCAUACCGGCGCCCAACUGACGCUCAGGCACGAAAGUGUGGGUAUCGAACAGGAUUAGAUACCCGUGUAGUC